This 233-nucleotide ribosomal RNA is filed under the name uncultured bacterium. RNAcentral's name for it is "partial 16S ribosomal RNA". It matches the Rfam family "Bacterial small subunit ribosomal RNA", at positions 794 to 1028 of the family's 1533-position model. The record is from RNAcentral.
UCCACGCCCUAAAUGAUGAUUACUCGCUGUUGGCAAUAUAUCGUCAGCGGCUAAGCGAAAGCAUUAAGUAAUCCACCUGGGGAGUACGAUCGCAAGGUUGAAACUCAAAGGAAUUGACGGGGGCCCGCACAAGCGGAGGAACAUGUGGUUUAAUUCGAUGAUACGCGAAGAACCUUACCUAGCCUUGACAUUGAUAGAACGGACCAGAGAUGGACCGGUGCCUUUCGGGAACU